GUCGAGCGGUAACAUUUCAAAGCUUGCUUUGAAGAUGACGAGCGGCGGACGGGUGAGUAAUGCUUGGGAAUAUGCCUUAUGGUGGGGGACAACAGUUGGAAACGACUGCUAAUACCGCAUAAUGUCUACGGACCAAAGGGGGGGAUCUUCGGACCUCUCGCCAUUUGAUUAGCCCAAGUGAGAUUAGCUAGUUGGUGAGGUAAUGGCUCACCAAGGCGACGAUCUCUAGCUGGUUUGAGAGGAUGAUCAGCCACACUGGGACUGAGACACGGCCCAGACUCCUACGGGAGGCAGCAGUGGGGAAUAUUGCACAAUGGGCGCAAGCCUGAUGCAGCCAUGCCGCGUGUGUGAAGAAGGCCUUCGGGUUGUAAAGCACUUUCAGUAAGGAGGAAAGGGAUGUAGUUAAUAGCUGCAUUCUGUGACGUUACUUACAGAAGAAGCACCGGCUAACUUCGUGCCAGCAGCCGCGGUAAUACGAGGGGUGCAAGCGUUAAUCGGAAUUACUGGGCGUAAAGCGCACGCAGGCGGUUUGUUAAGCUAGAUGUGAAAGCCCCGGGCUCAACCUGGGAAUAGCAUUUAGAACUGGCAGACUAGAGUCUUGGAGAGGGGAGUGGAAUUU
RNAcentral lists this ribosomal RNA (619 nucleotides) under uncultured bacterium. RNAcentral's name for it is "bacterial SSU rRNA". It matches the Rfam family "Bacterial small subunit ribosomal RNA", at positions 61 to 669 of the family's 1533-position model. The record is from RNAcentral.